CCAAGUAGAUCUCACAAUAUCAUUAGUAAAUAGAAAACCCAGGUCCGUAGCUACGUCAUCACUUCGGAAUGUACCGAGGAUACCUGAGCUAUGGCGAAGGGGUAAUUUGCACGAUGGGCGUUGCCUAUUUUGUGCUGAUUGUAUUUAAACAACGAAAAAGCAAAUUUUUGGCACGCACUCGAGCUCGAACCAUUCGAGCUUCUAUACGUACUUGCGACCAGCAACAUUCUCUACCGUCUUCUUACCAGCUACCGCAGCCGACGAACACAACAACCGACAGUUAUCACUGCCUAUAUAGCGACGACAUAUUAAACCAGGUGGUUUAAUAUUCAUCAAUAUCUACAAGUUUUCAACAAUUGCCCAGCCGUUUUUUAGGUCACCGUGAUCCCGUUCCCGAAUAAAAGCAAUUCAAAGUUGGGUGUCAAACUUCAGACGAGCAGAUUUUGCAUUAAAAAAGAAAACCUACCGGUCGACCUAGGAUUGCAACAAAACCGGACAAUGUGGUAUCUGUGAGAACUUCGAUUAAACAAUGUUCACGCCCCUCUGCAAGGAAACACGCGGCUCCCCUGAUCAAAGUUUUCGGAGAAUUCGGUACCGAAACUUCAAAAUGCACCCUGCAAAGUUGUAUUUACACAUGAACUGUUUGAAUGAGAUUGGGAAACUCGUACAACUUUGUGUCAAUAACUUCGGGACAUUCCCCUUACUGAAGUUGUUCUCUUUACGGACGAGGCACAUUUACAUCCCUCAAGCGCAGUGAAUAAACAAAAUUCCGUUACUAGUUUGAAAAUAAUCCUCGGAAAAUCCAUCAACGACUACUCCACAUUCCUGGGGUUACAGUGCGGUGUAUGUUUUUAGUUAGAUGUGGUGGGGUCCGUAAUUUUUUUAAGAGGAUCAUGUUACUGCAACGAUGACCUCUCUAAUUGGUAUUGCGCAAUGCUACAUAAUUUUCUCUAGUCUAGAUUCGGUAAUCUUUUCGGUGACAUGGGUAACUACAUGUGUGGUUUCAACAGGAUGGUGCAACAGCGCACACAUUCUGUUAUUUACCCAGCAUUAUAUAAGAAAUGUUUUCUGGACAUGUUGUCUCUUUACCUGGUAACAUCGGGUGGGUACCGCGCUCACCAGAUUCGACAGAGAGUAUUCUGAGAAAUGGAACAUUAAACUCAGCAUCUCAUUGAUCUCACUCCCCGCCACGUAUCAAUUUAAUCUGUAGAUGCAACUUCCUGUUUUUUAAUGGUCCAUACGACAAACAGAACAAUGCGUCGCCGGUGGAGAUCCUGUGGAGGUUAUCGUACCCUUAAUGCACGUACACUUCCCAAUCUCUACCCUGUCUGCAACUCCCAGGGCAUUUCGCAUGCCGUUUUCGGCAGUAAAAACUUUAUCGUAAUCGAUUGUACUAUAGUUUUCAUGCAUAUUCCAUUGCCAUAACUCGUUCUGAUUUAUUUGAAUUUUCUUUUGGUCUCCAAAAUAGAUUCCUGACCCUCAAAAAACAUUUUCUUGUUCGUGUCACUCUCCUUUUAUUGUAAGUUUAAAUGUGUCAAUGACUUGAGUGGCCAAUUAAUUCACAACAUGGUUCAAAGAAAUCGCUCCCAAUCAUUUCCAAAAAACUGGCUCAUUUCAAUACAAGAAAAGCGUGUAAUACCGAAAACUCCUCGCUAUGUAUCAUGUAGCUAAAUAUUUCUAACGUUAGAAAUUCGGAAAUUAAUCAUAUUUACCACUCUCACUGUAAAAAUCACACGGUUAGGCAGCUUAAUAAAUCCGGAAUUUAUUUCUCGUUACUACCGACGUUCGUCACCUCAUUACAUGUCACGAAGUUGUAGAUUGCCUUUCACAGGUGGAUUUUAUUUCUACCGCAACGUAACUUGACUUUACUGCAUUUUGCUGCUUGCAGUACGCUGGUUCCAAAUUCUAUACUUGCUUUCUCGUCAAGUUGUAGUGCGACACUUCCUUUGACACUCUCAGUCUUUACAACAACAUUCAUUUGGUGCAUCUUUGAUAGGAUUCACUCGGAUAGACACAUGAGUUAUGGUGUCGCCUCCUAACCACAAACUGUUAGAAUACAACGAUUUCAUAAUAUGUAAUGUAAGUUCGUAGAUUAAUAAAUCAAGUAUUUUAUGUUGCUUAUUGUUAGAUUAAGAAAACAAGCCGUGAUUUGUAUUAACCAAAGUUUAUGUUUCGUCUAGUUCAAAUCCUGUUCGGAAAGUAGUUGUAAGAAAGACGUUGUAAAAGAAAGAUUGUCAGUAAAAGAACAUUG
Molecule: long non-coding RNA, 2251 nt
Organism: Agrilus planipennis (emerald ash borer)
Lineage: Eukaryota; Metazoa; Arthropoda; Insecta; Coleoptera; Buprestidae
Exons: 2
Source: RefSeq, a predicted model, not a curated record